GUGGGGAAUAUUGGACAAUGGGCGCAAGCCUGAUCCAGCCAUGCCGCGUGAGUGAUGAAGGCCCUAGGGUUGUAAAGCUCUUUCACCGGAGAAGAUAAUGACGGUAUCCGGAGAAGAAGCCCCGGCUAACUUCGUGCCAGCAGCCGCGGUAAUACGAAGGGGGCUAGCGUUGUUCGGAAUUACUGGGCGUAAAGCGCACGUAGGCGGAUAUUUAAGUCAGGGGUGAAAUCCCGGAGCUCAACUCCGGAACUGCCUUUGAUACUGGGUAUCUCGAGUAUGGAAGAGGUGAGUGGAAUUCCGAGUGUAGAGGUGAAAUUCGUAGAUAUUCGGAGGAACACCAGUGGCGAAGGCGGCUCACUGGUCCAUUACUGACGCUGAGGUGCGAAAGCGUGGGGAGCAAACAGGAUUAGAUACCCUAGUAGUCC
Molecule: ribosomal RNA, 425 nt
Filed under: uncultured bacterium
Lineage: Bacteria
Description: partial 16S ribosomal RNA
Rfam family: Bacterial small subunit ribosomal RNA
Source: RNAcentral